CCCAGUCUGUAUUCAAGAGUAUUUUGUGUCUCAACCGACUGCGAAAACAGAACAAACACCUCAGUACGAAAGACUAUUGAGACUCCCGCCCACCGGGAGCAGAGCAUGCUGGGUGAUCUCUAACUGAGGAGAAGGUAGUAAGGAGAGAAAGUACAGAAGCGGUGAUAAGUCAAAUCAAAUCUAAUUUUAUUGGUCACGUACACAUGGUUAGCAGAUGUUAAUGCGAGUGUAGAGAAAUGCUUGUGUUGCUGGUUCCAACAGUGCAGUAAUAACAAGUAAUCUAACAAUUCUCCAACCUAAUACACACAUAUCUAAAGGGAUGGAAUACGAAAAUGUACAUAUGGAUGAGCGAUUGCCGAGCGGCAUAGUCAAGGUGCAAUAGAUGGUAUAAGAACCGUACACACUCUUGGUUAAAACACAAUUGUCAAGCAAUACACUGUGCUGUGCCGUUACUGCUCUAUGUGAAUCAGCGUCAUUAAACAACCUCAACUGGAAUCCUACCGGUCUGUCAUCUGUGCCCUUACCAGCACCUGGAAGAGAACGCAGUGCUAAGUAAAACCUAACCCUAAAGAAUAUCCAGUCCACCAAGUCCUCAACUACAACUUCCGAAGAUUUAAAAUAGGGUCUAAGCUGCAACAUAAACUCAGCAAAAAAAUAAACAUCCUCUCACUGUCAACUGCGUUUAUUUUCAGCAAACUUAACAUGUGUAAAUAUUUGUAUUAACAUAAUAUUUAACAACUGAGGCAUAAACUGAACAAGUUCCACAGACGUGACAAACAGAAAUGGAAUAAUGUGUCCCUGAACAAAGGGGGGGGGGGGGUCAAAAUCAAAAGUUAACAGUCAGUAUCUGGUGUGGCCACCAACUGCAUUAAGUACAGCAGUGCAUCUCCUCCUCAUGGACUGCACCAGAUUUGCAAGUUCUUGCUGUGAGGUGUUACCCCACUCUUCCACCAAGGCACAUGCAAGUUCCCAGACAUUUCUGGGGGAAUGGCCGUAGCUCACACCCUCCGAUCCAACAGGUCCCAGACGUGCUCAUUGGGAUUGAGGUCCAGGCCCUUCACUGGCCAUGGCAGAACACUGACAUUCCUGUCUUGCAGGAACUCACGCACAAAACGAGCAGUAUGGCUGAUGGCAUUGUCAUGCUGGAGGGUCAUGUCAGGAUGAGCCUGCAGGAAGGGUACCACAUGAGGGAGGAGGAUGUCUUCCCUGUAACUCACAGCGUUGAGAUUGCCUGCAAUGACAACAAGCUCAGUCCGAUGAUGCUGUGACACACCGCCCCAGAUCAUGACGGACCCUUCACCUCCAAAUCGAUCCCGCUCCAGAGUACAGGGUUCGGUGUAACACUCAUUCCUUCGACGAUAAACGCGAAUCCAACCAUCACCCCUGGUGAGACAAAACCGCAACUCGUCAGUGAAGAGCACUUUUUGCCAGUCCUGCCUGGUCCGGUGGGAACGGUGGGUUUGUGCCCAUAGGCAACGUUGUUGCCGGUGAUGUCUGGUGAGGACCUAACUGACCUACCAUCUGUAAGCUGUUAGUAUCUUAACGACCGUUCCACAGGUGCAUGCUCAUUAAUUGUUUAUGGUUCAUUGAACAAGCAUGGGAAACCGUGUCUAAACCCUUUACAAUGAAGAUCUGUGAAGUUAUUUGGAUUUUUACGAAGUAUCUUUGAAAGACUGUCCUGAAAAGGGGAUGUAUCUUUUUUUUGCUGAGUUUAUAUAAGCACAAAAAAAUAAAAACUCACCUGUUGAUAUCAAUGGUACACCAUUAGAGAUCAAGUUAUUCUGUACCUUAGCUUUGAAAUGUUUUGAUAAUUUGAUAUCCUUGCUCGCUGUGUACAAUACUGGAGCUGGCACCUUGCCAUGGUGGGGUAGAUUGCACGUUUUUGUGAUGUGUCCCUGUGGGCUGUAACAACAGCAACCGAAUUUAGGCUCUUGCAGGUUUAACAAUCCAGUCGUGCCAAUAAUCACAGUAAUGCUUACCCUCUUGUUUAUUAUUGCUUUAUUUGACAGCCGGAGGAAGCACACAGUACCUUUUAGAAAAUGAAGUUGAUUUUUACAUUCAUAGGCUGUCUGUUGAUAAAGCCUGAAAUCUGUUACAAAUGGAGAUACUGAGGAGCUGAACUUGCACUACGGAAAAACAAAUGCUAAGAGAAAGGGAUAAGGGCGUAAAAUAGAGAAAGAGUGGUGGUUAGAGAGAGGAAGAGACAGCGAGAAAACUAAGACAGAAAAAGACAAGUAUAUAUGCUUAGGGAGGUAAAAAUAAGAAGCUUAGAUAGAUGGAGAGAAUGUAGGAGAGAGAGGGGGGGGCAAAUGCAUUGGUGUCAGUGCAGCCACUUCCUGUGAUCAGAGAGAGAGAGAGAAAUGAAGAGAGCCCUCUAGAGCUAGCGCCCAUCAUUCAGCCCAAGACAUAAAGAGAGGGAUCAUCACCCGUGUCCUUGCAGAGAAAUAGAGAAAAGAGGAUGACCAUUACAUGGAGGACAGGUGUCAUGCUGAUGCUGAUGUUUUUUUCUUCUGCAGGUAAGUGCCAACCUAGAUGUAUUACGGUAGUCACUAAAUAGCCAUGGUAGACUGCACAGAAGUGGCGAUACCAUCAAAACUGUUCAGCAAGUAUAUGAGCUGUUGGUUCUGAAUUCAUGUGGGAGGGCUAAGGUUAGGAAAAUGGUACAUUAAAGUUGUUCGUUUGGUUAUAAAUAGACUUCAAUGCUUUCUUGUGUGGCUAGAUAGUACGUUUCCUGUGCUACUGUGUAUAUGCUCUGUCCAAAGCCCUUCGAUGGCGUUCCUCUCCCACCCUCACCGCCUUCACCUCCUUACCCACCCAGAGGUGCUCUAUCCUGAGUACGGAGAGUGUCCUCCCCCUGGUCAGGAGAGAGAGGCAGGCUCCAGGAGAUUUAGUGCUCUGUACCCUACCUAUCUGUUCAUGUUUGUGAUUGAGUGGCUACCUUUCUACGCAUCUAUUUUUAGAGUCUGCGAAGAACAUGAAAGCUUAGACGUGGCCUUGUUCGUUUCCGCAUUACCAGAAUGGCAAAGUCACAGACAUACACAUAUGCGAAAGAGUAGCACCUGUUGGUGUUUGAUAACUGAAAACUAGAGAGUGAUUAUUCUGAGACAGUGUUGCUGCU
Long non-coding RNA from Oncorhynchus tshawytscha (Chinook salmon), 3118 nucleotides. The record is from Ensembl. Lineage: Eukaryota; Metazoa; Chordata; Actinopteri; Salmoniformes; Salmonidae.